GAUGGCUUACUGUAUGACCUAAAUAUCUGAUGAGGAAAUUCAGCAUUAUUGUGUCAGAUGAUGACAUAAUGGUGUGCACUUUUCUUCUAGUAAGACGUUGCGAUCCAUUAGAAAAUAAAAAAAAAUUUGUAUAUAGGCCCAAAUAGGAGUUUAUGCAUUAAGCGAGUAACAUGACUUUGUUGUUAUGUGAAUGCGUGUAAACUAUUUGGUGUUCUUACAAAUGUCUGAUGGUAUUUUGAUUGAAUGUCGCAUACAAUUUUUUUAAAAAUUUAAAUCCCUUGGUAAAAAUAAUGGCUACCUUAACCACAACGUUUUAAAUUUUAGAAACCCUCCGGACCCCUCUUGGAACCCGGACCAAAAAAUCCAACUUGGAUGCCAGUCCAUGGGAUUAAUAAAACCUAUAGGCCAAAUGAAAUUAACUUGGUAUAAUGGGAUUACCAAUGGGGGAAGUAAUUAAACUAUUUUUCCAUCCCCGGGUAACCUAAUGGAAGUACUGGAAUUUCCGUUGCCUGGACCACCAAAAUAUACCCGUAACAUACCAGCUGUGACCCGAAAGAAUGUGAACUAAGGCUGAUCAAGUGAAGUCAGGGAAACCCUGAUGGAAAACGUACAAUCUGACGUGCAAAUCAUUGUCGAAGUGGGAUAGGGCCAAAGACAAUCGAACAUCUAGUACUGUUUCCUUUCCGAA
RNAcentral lists this ribosomal RNA (688 nucleotides) under Culicoides austeni. Its description in RNAcentral is "partial 28S ribosomal RNA". It matches the Rfam family "Eukaryotic large subunit ribosomal RNA", at positions 432 to 965 of the family's 3401-position model. Lineage: Eukaryota; Metazoa; Arthropoda; Insecta; Diptera; Ceratopogonidae. The record is from RNAcentral.